Molecule: long non-coding RNA, 350 nt
Filed under: Prunus persica (peach)
Lineage: Eukaryota; Viridiplantae; Streptophyta; Magnoliopsida; Rosales; Rosaceae
Description: long non-coding RNA (PPER_LNC002088)
Source: RNAcentral
GUGGACCCAUGUUGAGGCAAGGGUGGUCAAUUGACCCCCAGAAGCCCGAAAAAGCCAUGGAAGGCAAGAUGGUUGACUCCUGGAUUGUUUGGUGGCUGGGCAGGAAAGCCUAUCAUUUGCUCUAGUAAAUGGAAGAGAAGACCUGUAUUUCUACAACAUAUGAGAAAAUACACCACCGUUUUAGCUUUUAGUUUCAUACACACGGUGGAUUACAUUUAACUAGGAACCAGACCCCCACCCCUUCGUUUCUCUUCCCAUCUCAAACCAAGUUCCAAAAAGCCACCACCUCUCUAAUCCCUUUCUCUAAUAACUACACAUCUUCCCAAGCUUCCAAAUUGUAAUAACCUCCC